AUUGAACGCUGGCGGCAUGCUUUACACAUGCAAGUCGAACGGUAACAGGCCGCAAGGUUCUGACGAGUGGCGAACGGGUGAGUAAUGCAUCGGAACGUGCCCAGUCGCGGGGGAUAACUACUCGAAAGAGUAGCUAAUACCGCAUACGAUCUAUGGAUGAAAGCGGGGGACCGUAAGGCCUCGCGCGAUUGGAGCGGCCGAUGUUAGAUUAGGUAGUUGGUGGGGUAAAGGCUCACCAAGCCAACGAUCUGUAGCUGGUCUGAGAGGACGACCGGCCACACUGGGACUGAGACACGGCCCAGACUCCUACGGGAGGCAGCAGUGGGGAAUUUUGGACAAUGGGCGCAAGCCUGAUCCAGCAAUGCCGCGUGCAGGAAGAAGGCCUUCGGGUUGUAAACUGCUUUUGUACGGAACGAAACGGCUCUGGUUAAUACCCGGGGCUAAUGACGGUACCGUAAGAAUAAGCACCGGCUAACUACGUG
This 482-nucleotide ribosomal RNA is filed under the name uncultured bacterium. RNAcentral's name for it is "partial 16S ribosomal RNA". It matches the Rfam family "Bacterial small subunit ribosomal RNA", at positions 30 to 507 of the family's 1533-position model. The record is from RNAcentral.